This 306-nucleotide unclassified non-coding RNA is filed under the name Hevea brasiliensis (rubber tree). The record is from RNAcentral. Lineage: Eukaryota; Viridiplantae; Streptophyta; Magnoliopsida; Malpighiales; Euphorbiaceae.
AUCAAUGUUUAACUUUGUCAGUAACCGUAGUGCCCGAAGAACACCUUCAGCAGACUCAAACUCACAGAAUCCAAAGGUUCUAGGAGUUCCAUCCGAUGGAUUUUGGGCCCGUUUCCAGCUCUUCACUGGUCCACAUAGCUGAAGAAGGGACAGCAUGAAAUCAUUAUCCACUGAUUGUGCAAUUCGGCCAAUAUAAAUAGUAGUUUGUGGUUGUUCGGCUGGUGUAACACUUGGGAGCACAGCAGGCCUAACCACAGGAGGGAUGAUUGGGCGCACACCAGGAAUCCCAGGAAUAGGAGGUCGUGG